CGGACUUAGUGAUCCGGUGGUUCCGCAUGGAAGGGCCAUCGCUCAACGGAUAAAAGCUACCCCGGGGAUAACAGGCUUAUCUCCCCCAAGAGUUCACAUCGACGGGGAGGUUUGGCACCUCGAUGUCGGCUCAUCGCAUCCUGGGGCUGUAGUCGGUCCCAAGGGUUGGGCUGUUCGCCCAUUAAAGCGGUACGCGAGCUGGGUUCAGAACGUCGUGAGACAGUUCGGUCCCUAUCCGUCGUGGGCGUAGGAAAUUUGAGAGGAGCUGUCCUUAGUACGAGAGGACCGGGAUGGACAUACCUCUGGUGUACCAGUUGUCGUGCCAACGGCAUAGCUGGGUAGCUAUGUGUGGACGGGAUAAGUGCUGAAAGCAUCUAAGCAUGAAGCCCCCCUCAAGAUGAGAUUUCCCAACUUCGGUUAUAAGAUCCCUCAAAGAUGAUGAGGUUAAUAGGUUCGAGGUGGAAGCAUGGUGACAUGUGGAGCUGACGAAUACUAA
Molecule: ribosomal RNA, 496 nt
Filed under: Staphylococcus aureus
Lineage: Bacteria; Bacillati; Bacillota; Bacilli; Caryophanales; Staphylococcaceae
Description: partial 23S ribosomal RNA
Rfam family: Bacterial large subunit ribosomal RNA
Source: RNAcentral